GCCCCGGUAGCUUAGUGGUAGAGCUGAAUGUAGUGACCAAUAACUACGAGGAGGUAGGAGGUUCGAAUCCUGCCCGGUGGCU
This is a non-coding RNA of Meloidogyne enterolobii, 82 nucleotides long. NCBI's taxonomy places the organism in Eukaryota, Metazoa, Nematoda, Chromadorea, Rhabditida, Meloidogynidae. The record is from the annotation of a GenBank genome assembly.